Molecule: long non-coding RNA, 581 nt
Filed under: Numida meleagris (helmeted guineafowl)
Lineage: Eukaryota; Metazoa; Chordata; Aves; Galliformes; Numididae
Description: lncRNA (ENSNMEG00000020420.1)
Source: RNAcentral
ACUCUGGAAGUAGCAGAGUUGAGUGUCUAAAAUAUUAUUGGAAAUUGCUUUCCAGUGCUGUUUAUGUUCUCUGGCUUCAAGAACAGGCAGUGCAGUGUGAUGAGUGUCAACUAAUAAACAUGACAACUCCAAAAGGGAGUCAUGAAAUGACAGCAAAACAUCUGGAUCGUUUCUUCCUAGAACUUUUAUUGGUCUCUACUAGCAGCUGCAGUAAGAGAGGAGUUACCAGACAUCUCAAUGUUUUCAUCCUGAUCUGUCUCCAGAGGAGAUGCCUUCAAGACGCCUGCAUAUGCUGUUAUACACUUCUUACUGCAACUAAGUAAAUGAACUUAUCAUGGGCAUGAAAUUAUCAUCAGUUCAGCAUCCUGGAGUCCCUUGGGAGAGCCAGAGUAUUAAGGACACACAAGAAUCUCAGAGGUCUGUACCAAAGCCACACAGAACAAAGACCAAACCAAGCAGAGAACAGAAGGGUUUUCCAUUGCAAUCUACUGGUGUACCCAUUUUCUGCUUGUAUAUAUGGCUUGUGGAUACAUGAACAUUUAGGUCAAGGUUAUCUUUGCCUAUGUACUAUUAAAUACCAG